Molecule: ribosomal RNA, 253 nt
Filed under: uncultured bacterium
Lineage: Bacteria
Description: partial 16S ribosomal RNA
Rfam family: Bacterial small subunit ribosomal RNA
Source: RNAcentral
UACGAAGGGGACUAGCGUUGUUCGGAAUCACUGGGCGUAAAGCGCACGUAGGCGGAUUCGUAAGUCAGGGGUGAAAUCCUGGAGCUCAACUCCAGAACUGCCUUUGAUACUGAGGAUCUUGAGUUCGGGAGAGGUGAGUGGAACUGCGAGUGUAGAGGUGAAAUUCGUAGAUAUUCGCAAGAACACCAGUGGCGAAGGCGGCUCACUGGCCCGAUACUGACGCUGAGGCACGAAAGCGUGGGGAGCAAACAGG